CCCUGAAGAGGUUCUUAAAACACGCCAGGACUCCCUCUCGGAGUCACAGAAUCAGAACUGGGGAAGGGGUGCAUCCUUAGAAACUGCAUUUUAGAAAAAAUUCCCAGGUUAUUCUUAACUGGGGGAACCUGUACGUUUGCAAAGCAUGACCUUAAAGGGCCUUCUCCGGAUGCCUUUGCACCUGCUCCCCACCUGUGCAGUGACAAAACUGCCACCCGCUUCACAUCUGGGAUUCUCAUUUCCAAUUAAAGGGCAGGAAACUGAAGUCCAGGGAGCGGCAGUCACUCACCAGGACCACACAGGGAGCCAGCGGCCCCGUCCCCCAGCUCUGGGGCAGGUGCGAGAGCAGGAAGGAGGCUCUGUGCCGUCGGAGACCUGUGCCUGCACUUCACACGUCAAGGGCUCUGCAAGGGCUCCUCUCUGGGCAUCCUUGGCCAAGCCAUGCUCCCCAUCUGCCUCUCUCUGCUCCCGUUUGUUGAUUUCCCUGGAGGUCUCCACACGGUGCAGACAAAUGCCUCUAAGACUUUAACCCCAACGCACAGUCCAGGGAAAGAAGAGUAAGCAAAGCCUCGGUGACAGGAAGAUCCAGCUGUCAGAUCCUUCGCCGUCCACUGAGCCUCAGAUGCAGGACCUGGAGCGAGGACUCUGUCUGCAGCCAUGCUGGACCAGAGGAACGCGUGCAGCCUGCCUGAGCCCUCUUGGUCCACGGUGUUCAAAACACGUCGGAUCUAAGAAGGGAGAGAUUCCAGAUGGAAAUGCAUGGGGGGUGUCCCGGCCCCAGACAAACGGAGUGGGGUCAGGCCGAGGGAGAGAUGGCCAGACGGGGGCCUGCGAGGGCACUGAGUGCAGUUGCUACAGGCAGGAGCUGGGUGGAGGCUGGGGGCUGUCCAAGGGGCCAGCAGGUGGGCCUGGUGGUCUGCAUGAGUUAGGGAUCCUGAGGGCACAGCAGACUCAACCAUCGGUGCAACCUCCCGUGGGAAGGACAGACCAGGUGGCAGUGUGUGAAAUGUCCUUAGGCCUCCCCUCCUCCGCCCACCCCAGCAGCUUAGAACUGAACACUUUGAUGCUGUUGAACCAGCAAUGCUGUUUGUUGAGUCUCUGAU
Molecule: long non-coding RNA, 1103 nt
Filed under: Equus caballus (horse)
Lineage: Eukaryota; Metazoa; Chordata; Mammalia; Perissodactyla; Equidae
Description: lncRNA (ENSECAG00000037425.2)
Source: RNAcentral